GGUAGGUAAAACAGAGUCUCGAGGCAAGGUAUAAAGAAAUAAGAAUGCUUCAAGCCAAUCUCUGACAAUUCCGGCUCCUAACCUAUUAUACCCAAUUUAAAUGAUUGGACUAUGUCGAAAUCAAAUGCAUGUUAACUUGAUGAGAUGUACUAAUAGAUGGAGAGGACUAAGAGCUAGUUUUGCCCAAAUGUGGUGCGGCCAAGGCUUGUAGAAAUUGAGGCCGGAGUCCACAAGAAACUAAUAUUUGGCGGGAAGGUUAGCAUCAAAAGAAUGGCAUUUUCUUUAUCUCU
RNAcentral lists this long non-coding RNA (290 nucleotides) under Elaeis guineensis (African oil palm). Its description in RNAcentral is "long non-coding RNA (EGUI_LNC011612)". The record is from RNAcentral. Lineage: Eukaryota; Viridiplantae; Streptophyta; Magnoliopsida; Arecales; Arecaceae.